CAGUCGCCGCGGGAAUACGUAGGGUGCGAGCGUUAAUCGGAAUUACUGGGCGUAAAGCGUGCGCAGGCGGUUAUAUAAGACAGAUGUGAAAUCCCCGGGCUCAACCUGGGACCUGCAUUUGUGACUGUAUAGCUAGAGUACGGUAGAGGGGGAUGGAAUUCCGCGUGUAGCAGUGAAGUGCGUAGAUAUGCGGAGGAACACCGAUGGGGAAGGCAAUCCCCUGGACCUGUACUGACGCUCAUGCACGAAAGCGUGGGGAGCAAACAGGAUUAGAUACCCCGGUAGUCCCUGUCUCUUAUAA
Molecule: ribosomal RNA, 301 nt
Filed under: uncultured bacterium
Lineage: Bacteria
Description: partial 16S ribosomal RNA
Rfam family: Bacterial small subunit ribosomal RNA
Source: RNAcentral